GCAGCCUGAGGUUCCCAUCAUGAGUUUCAGGAAGGGAAAUUCAUGGAGGAAGUUCACCUCUGGAAGGGUUGUAGAUGAGCAUGAGAGUGUGGAGCAGAGUCGGCGAGCGCAAGCUGAGCCCAUCAACCUGGACAGCUGUCUCCGUUCUUUCACCAGUGACGAAGAGCUAGGGGAAAAUGAGAUGUACUACUGUUCCAAGUGUAAGACCCACUGCUUAGCAACAAAGAAGCUGGAUCUCUGGAGUCUUCCACCCUUUCUGAUUAUUCACCUUAAGCGAUUUCAAUUUGUAAAUGAUCAGUGGAUAAAAUCACAGAAAAUUGUC
This 322-nucleotide small RNA is filed under the name Pongo abelii (Sumatran orangutan). Its description in RNAcentral is "processed transcript". The record is from RNAcentral. Lineage: Eukaryota; Metazoa; Chordata; Mammalia; Primates; Hominidae.